UACGCCUGCUUCAAGUUAAGAAUUUUUUACAAAAUUAUGUUUUAUAAAAUUAAUCGAUUUAAAAAAUAUUAUUAGGUAGAAUUUUAAUAUUUUUGGAAGACUUUUAUGUAAAACAAAAGAAUUACAUUUAUGGACCAGGAUUAGAUACCCUGUUACUUUUAACUAUAAAAUUUUGGAAUAGUAAUAAUAAUGAAAUUUAACGGAUUUGGCGGCAAGAUAGCUAUUUAGAGGAACCUGCCCUGUAAACGAUGAACCACGAAUAACAUUACUUUUAUUUGUAAUCAGUUUGUAUAUCGCUGUUGUCAGUUAGUUUCUUUAGAAAACUUUCUAUUAUAAAAAAAUUAAAGACUUCAAGUAAAGGUGCAGCUAAUAUAAAAGUUAGAGGUGGGUUACAUUAUAUGGAUUAAUACGGAUAAAGUUUUUGAAAUAACUUUUGAAGGUGGAUUUAAUAGUAAAGUUUAUAAAAACUUGAUUAAGGCUCUUUCUUGUGU
RNAcentral lists this ribosomal RNA (491 nucleotides) under Savignium sp. n. 1 LMT-2014. RNAcentral's name for it is "partial 12S small subunit ribosomal RNA". The record is from RNAcentral. Lineage: Eukaryota; Metazoa; Arthropoda; Thecostraca; Balanomorpha; Pyrgomatidae.